Molecule: ribosomal RNA, 251 nt
Filed under: uncultured bacterium
Lineage: Bacteria
Description: partial 16S ribosomal RNA
Rfam family: Bacterial small subunit ribosomal RNA
Source: RNAcentral
ACGUAUGGGGCAAGCGUUAUCCGGAUUUACUGGGUGUAAAGGGAGCGUAGGCGGUAAGACAAGUCAGAAGUGAAAGGCUGGGGCUCAACCCUGGGACUGCUUUUGAAACUGUCUAACUAGAGUGCAGGAGAGGUAAGUGGAAUUCCUAGUGUAGCGGUGAAAUGCGUAGAUAUUAGGAGGAACACCAGUGGCGAAGGCGGCUUACUGGACUGUAACUGACGCUGAGGCUCGAAAGCGUGGGGAGCAAACAG